Molecule: long non-coding RNA, 673 nt
Filed under: Equus caballus (horse)
Lineage: Eukaryota; Metazoa; Chordata; Mammalia; Perissodactyla; Equidae
Description: lncRNA (ENSECAG00000057926.1)
Source: RNAcentral
UUUCCGGCUGUCUGUUCGUGGCUGAGAAUAUGUCACUAGGAAGCUGAACGGACAAUCUGUCUGCAUGGACAGGGCUGGGUGAUGGUAAUAGCUAGAUGAUUUGGGUAUCACUUUGCAAUUCAAAACCUGAGACUUCCAAAGAUGCUUCUUGAUUUGAUGUUCCAGGUGGCUGAGAAGAAAUGGACAUUAAGUGAUUGCUUGUGGCUUUGAAAGGUCAUGAUCCACUUCCUUCAGCAGGCUGGAGAAUGUCAAACUGCACCUGAACGUUAAGCAUCAUAUUUUUCUGGUUAUAGAUGCAAAUCAUGUGACAGUGGCAAGCAGCUCAUUCUCAUGCAUGUCCAAUGUUGAAUUAAGGCAGAGCUCCAAGCUGAUGGGCACUUCUGUGACCGGCAUUCAGAGGUGUACUUAUUUCAGUCCAACACUGCCUCUCACUUAACUCCAGCAUCAAAGGAAUUUGAACAAUUUGGCUGGUGGGUACAGGAGAAGGCAAUUCCUCAUUUUAUGUAUAAUCAUUUACACAUGUAGAACCCUUAAAAUAUGUCGUUCUUUCACAACUCAAGUUUUGCACAUAAUUCAUUGACUAAGGAUAAAGUAACUGACACAUUUCAAGAAAAUAUUGCAAGAAUUAUGCACGUAGGCAUUUGAAACAUUGUUAGACAAUAAAAAUCCAUAA